CUUGAUUCCAAAUCUGGGUGACCAGGUACCAAGGAAGGAAAGAAGGAUAUAACUAGGAGUAAAUUGGAAAGAGGUAACUAUCACAUGGAUCCAUUUUCUCAAACACAUGGCUGGGCUGGGGACUUCUGGUUUUAUGCAGAAGCAAAUGAAGAUGUCAGAUCAAGGAAAUAACCCAUUCAGUUGUAUGAUGCACGGCUCACCCCACCAAACAGAAGAGCCCCAGUGCCCCUGUCAGAGAUGUGAGCCCCCAGCCCAGCACCCAAAAGAGCAUCAGCCUCAUUCCGGCUAAGACCCAG
This 296-nucleotide long non-coding RNA is filed under the name Coturnix japonica (Japanese quail). RNAcentral describes it as "lncRNA (ENSCJPG00005005274.1)". Lineage: Eukaryota; Metazoa; Chordata; Aves; Galliformes; Phasianidae. The record is from RNAcentral.